RNAcentral lists this long non-coding RNA (539 nucleotides) under Daucus carota (carrot). RNAcentral's name for it is "long non-coding RNA (DCAR_LNC007137)". Lineage: Eukaryota; Viridiplantae; Streptophyta; Magnoliopsida; Apiales; Apiaceae. The record is from RNAcentral.
GUAGAUACCAUACUCAUUCAGAGUCACAAAGAACUUGUUACAUAUUUGAUGAUGUCACAAGUAUCUAACUUGUUUAGUGUGCAGAAGCAAAUAUCAGAGUUUAGCUGGAAAUCAGAGUUUAACGACUGCCAGCUGGAUCAGAGUUUAUCAAUGAUCAGAGUUUGCAGGCGGCUGAUUUUCAGGAGCAGAUCUGGAUAAACAAGGAAGAUCAAGAUCAAGGAAGAUUGUGCAAAUCAGGACAGCAGAAGGAUAGCUACUGAUUAGAUUAUUUUAGGAAGCAGAUAAUUAUGAAUCAAUCAGUAGAUAUCAUGUAACUGUGUAUAUAAACACAGAUUAGGGUUUACUCUAUAAGAGUAAGAAUAUCGAGAAUAUUAUUCUUGUAACCUAGCAGCUCUUAGUGAUAAGUUAUAAAUCACUAAGAGAGUUUUUGUAACCUCCUGAGUUUUGUGAAUAAGAGUUUACUUUGUUGAAUCUCUUGUUUGAGUAUUUUGUUAUUGAUUGUGUUCACUAUAUUAAUUAAUAUAGUGAUUAAAUUCGGC